RNAcentral lists this long non-coding RNA (455 nucleotides) under Eucalyptus grandis. RNAcentral describes it as "long non-coding RNA (EGRA_LNC004182)". The record is from RNAcentral. Lineage: Eukaryota; Viridiplantae; Streptophyta; Magnoliopsida; Myrtales; Myrtaceae.
CAUUUCCUCUUAUUUCGCUUCUUACCCACACAACCCAGUUAAUGUUUUUCCAUUACAGCUCUUACCGAUUACACUUUAAGUAUCAGUAUCGGAUUCUACAAAUUCCCCUCUCUAAUCCUCAUCCGUUCACCCAAGUGUGUUUUCCUUAGUCUGAUGCUUCGAUUCUUGGACAUCUUCUCUUUUCUGUGUCUGCAUGUCAAACUUCCAUGUUCCAAAGGAUGCCCUAGAUCUUCCUUUUUGAAUUAGUUCCUCCUGGGUCCCUGAAAGAUGCUGUUUUGACCCUCGUCGAAGGUCUAUUUAGGCUUGUGAAACUGAAUUCUCCUCAGUCCUCGGAUUAAUCUUGUCGAAGGUUUCAAUGGAUUCCCCAGCCAGCGAAGAGGAGGCUCGUUUGGGUGCUUUAUGCACUCGCCUGGGUCGUCUAUGGUCGGAACAGAAAGUGGAAAUCUAGGACGAAG